AAAGGGCGCGUAGGCGGUUUGACAAGUUGGAUGUGAAAGCCCAGGGCUCAACCCUGGAAUUGCAUUCAAGACUGUCUCACUUGAAUUCGGUAGAGGUUGGUGGAAUUCCCAGUGUAGAGGUGAAAUUCGUAGAGAUUGGGAAGAACACCCGUGGCGAAGGCGGCCAACUGGACCGACAUUGACGCUGAGGCGCGAAAGCGUGGGGAUCAAACAGGAUUAGAUACCCGUGU
This 230-nucleotide ribosomal RNA is filed under the name uncultured bacterium. Its description in RNAcentral is "partial 16S ribosomal RNA". It matches the Rfam family "Bacterial small subunit ribosomal RNA", at positions 562 to 791 of the family's 1533-position model. The record is from RNAcentral.